RNAcentral lists this ribosomal RNA (524 nucleotides) under Gyroporus cyanescens. RNAcentral's name for it is "eukaryotic LSU rRNA". The stretch from base 148 to 302 matches the Rfam family "5.8S ribosomal RNA". The record is from RNAcentral. Lineage: Eukaryota; Fungi; Basidiomycota; Agaricomycetes; Boletales; Gyroporaceae.
UCGAGUUCCAAACCGUCGAGGGGGAAAACCCCUCGGUCGGUCGUACGUCUUUCCCGUGCACCCGUCGUAGGUCCUUUGAAAAAGGGGGCCUAUGUUCGUCUUCUCGACCUUUGAAAGUCCAUAGACUGUGGCGGUCAUGCCUUUGACAACUUUCAGCAACGGAUCUCUUGGCUCUCGCAUCGAUGAAGAACGUAGCGAAUCGCGAUAAGUAAUGUGAAUUGCAGAUUUUCCGUGAAUCAUCGAAUCUUUGAACGCAACUUGCGCUCCUUGGUAUUCCGAGGAGCAUGCCUGUCUGAGCGUCUUUGUACUCUCAAACCCGGAAUCCCGGGUUUGGAACUUGGGAGCUUGCGGGCGUCCUUCCGGUCGUCGGCUCUCCUGAAAUGCAUUAGCGAGGGAUGACACCGAACCUGGCGUGGCGCUCGACGUCGUAAGGAUCGUCGUGGGUCGCGGGUGCAGGCGAGGCGUCGUCUCGUGCUUCCAGCGUCGGCGAGCUCUUCCCAGAGCCGCCAUCGGAGGUCAGCCUC